CCCCAGCCCCCGCCACCCCGGCGCCGGCCCCUCUCACCCUUUCAUUCUCUGCCCGGGGCCUGACGCGGGCCGGCGGAUCCCCGGCCUCACAUCAGAGUGAGAGGCGCUGGCAAUGGACUAGGAAGCUCGGCUGCUGCUGCUACUGCUCCCCCCUGGGCUCCGGCGAGAGCCUUUCCCUGUCAAGCAAGAGGGGCUAAUAAUGCUGCUUCUCCGUUGCGGAUCCAAGUUCUGUGUCUGGUGGUCAGUUUAUAAAUUUGUACUUCAAGAGACUUCAUAGCCACUGUAUCUUAUAUUGGUCUAUGGAUAUGUUUUUACAUGCAUAUUUGCAAGUCGCUUUCUAUAUAAAAAUUUGUACUACAUAUUCCACUCAAAACUGAGAUUGCCAAAAGACAAUUGUUAAGGGAUGUCUUUUGUCUCCUUGUCUCAAAGCUAUGUAAAUAAAACCUGACUGUCCAGAAAGGCAUGA
Long non-coding RNA from Panthera uncia (snow leopard), 466 nucleotides. RefSeq lists it as uncharacterized. The transcript has 3 exons. The record is from RefSeq and is a predicted model, not a curated record. NCBI's taxonomy places the organism in Eukaryota, Metazoa, Chordata, Mammalia, Carnivora, Felidae.